GAGCUCAAGCUUAAAACCCAAAGGACUUGACGGUGUCCCAUCCACCUAGAGGAGCCUGUUCUAUAAUCGAUACUCCCCGAUCAACCCCACCACCUCUUGAAUAACCAGCCUGUAUACCUCCGUCGCAAGCUUACCAUGUGAACGUACUCAGUGAGCCUAAAGGUUAAAAACCCAAACGUCAGGUCAAGGUGCAGCCAACGAGGUGGAAAGUAAUGGGCUACAAUCUCUAUUUUAGAACACACAGAAAACUGCAUGCAAUACAGUAAUUGAAGGCGGAUUUAGAAGUAAAAAGAAAGUAGAGAGUUCUUUUUAAUAAGGCCCUGGGACGCGUACACACCGCCCGUCACCCUCUUCGACCCACUCCUGUAUAACACAUAUUUUGUAGAAGAGGCAAGUCGUAACAUGGUAAGCAUACUGGAAAGUGUGCUUGGAUUAACAAAAUGUAGCUUAAUAAAAAGCAUCUUGCUUACACCAAGAAUAUGUUAGCUAUUUACUAACCAUUUUGAGCCUAAAACCAAGCCCUAACCAACCGAAUAAUUAAACUACGCUAAUAAAAAAUAACAAAACAUUUUACUAACUAAGUAAAGGCGAUUAAAAAGCAUUUAGGAG
Molecule: ribosomal RNA, 609 nt
Filed under: Xenorhina varia
Lineage: Eukaryota; Metazoa; Chordata; Amphibia; Anura; Microhylidae
Description: partial 12S ribosomal RNA
Rfam family: Bacterial small subunit ribosomal RNA (bases 1-443)
Source: RNAcentral